Molecule: transfer RNA, 72 nt
Filed under: Pangasianodon hypophthalmus (striped catfish)
Lineage: Eukaryota; Metazoa; Chordata; Actinopteri; Siluriformes; Pangasiidae
Rfam family: tRNA
About the family: Transfer RNA (tRNA) molecules are approximately 80 nucleotides in length.
Source: Rfam by way of RNAcentral
UCCCUGGCGGACUAGUGGUUAGGCCAUGGCGCUCUCACUGUCACAGCCCAGGUUCAAUUCCUGGCCAGGGAA